This 33-nucleotide small RNA is filed under the name Bombyx mori (domestic silkworm). RNAcentral's name for it is "ovarian small RNA-10588". The record is from RNAcentral. Lineage: Eukaryota; Metazoa; Arthropoda; Insecta; Lepidoptera; Bombycidae.
AAGCGAACCACGAAAAGUCGGUCUCAGUUCGGA